AACGAACGCUGGCGGCAUGCCUAACACAUGCAAGUCGAACGAAGCCUUCGGGCUUAGUGGCGCACGGGUGCGUAACGCGUGGGAACCUGCCCCUUGGUUCGGAAUAACAGUUAGAAAUGACUGCUAAUACCGGAUGAUGACGAAAGUCCAAAGAUUUAUCGCCGAGGGAUGGGGCCCCGCGUUAGGGAUUAGCUAGUUGGUGAGGUAAUGGCUCACCAAGGCGACGAUCCUUAGCUGGUCUGAGAGGAUGAUCAGCCACACUGGGACUGAGACACGGCCCAGACUCCUACGGGAGGCAGCAGUGGGGAAUAUUGGACAAUGGGCGAAAGCCUGAUCCAGCAAUGCCGCGUGAGUGAUGAAGGCCUUAGGGUUGUAAAGCUCUUUUACCAGGGAUGAUAAUGACAGUACCUGGAGAAUAAGCUCCGGCUAAACUCCGUGCCAGCAGCCGCGGUAA
RNAcentral lists this ribosomal RNA (454 nucleotides) under uncultured bacterium. Its description in RNAcentral is "bacterial SSU rRNA". It matches the Rfam family "Bacterial small subunit ribosomal RNA", at positions 29 to 523 of the family's 1533-position model. The record is from RNAcentral.